Molecule: long non-coding RNA, 1266 nt
Organism: Arvicola amphibius (Eurasian water vole)
Lineage: Eukaryota; Metazoa; Chordata; Mammalia; Rodentia; Cricetidae
Exons: 2
Source: RefSeq, a predicted model, not a curated record
GCUACCAACUUUCAUUUUACAGAUGUCGAAAUUAAGAACAGAGAAAGGGACGUUAAUUGACCAAGAAACUUUUUACAUUCCUGUGACGGAAUGAUUUCUAGAAAAAUCAAAACUAACUUUUAAAAUAAUACUAAAAAUUAGUUAAAGGAAACCAACACUGAUUAUUUCUAUAAAUCUCCCAAACAUUUGAAUUCCCCUUUCAUCAGCAAGGAGUUUCUUGAAUUAAAGCCGCUGGUUCAACUUGGAGUGGUGCGACACUUUGAAUAGCUGCAGGGAGUUGGCCAGGGCCUGUUCAGAUAGACGACUGAGCUUUCUAGCGAGUGUGAACGAACAGUAAAAAUUGCUGUCGCCACAGAGGGAGAUCCUGGCCUACUGGAGAAGUCCCAGUUAAGGACGAAGAUAUUGCACAGCCACGGUUUGAUGUGCUGUAUCAGAGCAAGAGAAUCCCAGCCGUCCAGUGAGAAGGCACGGACGGAGGCGGCUGUUGACACUCGUCUCCAAAAGUUUCACAACACUCUUCAGGGAACCCUCAUGUCUUCCUUACCCGAGCGAACGCGCGCUCAGAUAAGGGUUCCUGGCACUCAUCCUCCCUCCGCAGAUUCUGUGGUCCCUUCUGAGCCUGGGUUCUACCCUCUGCCAAGCUGGAAAGGGAAUCGUGGAAAGGGGAUCUUCAACUCUGGCAAGAGCUGAUGCCGCCACACCUCAGCUCCGCAAUCAGACCCGAGAAGGGGUCUCCCAGGACCCCUACACCGCCCCUGGAUGGACGGGGUUUCCAUAGACAAACCGCUCCUGGGCAAACUAUCUGUAUAGUUUAGCGUAGAAGCCCACCGGGCGUGGAACUGUGGAGGAGGCCGCUUUGUUUCUCACCUUGUUUUCCUAGUGGGAUGCCGAAUAGGCGAACUGCAAUUUCCCCUGUAAUCUCGUUCCGAAUAUGGGUGAGGUCGGCGUGGUCCGGACACGCAAACAGAUUGGGGCCGGGUGCAGAGGAGCGGAGGGUGGGCGUUCCAGGCUCUGUGGCUGGGACCGCACCCCAUCUCUGCAAGGACGCCCCUCCCCGCUGGGCAGAGGAACCAGACUGGCAGGCGUCCCGAGGACCGCCACAAAAGAUACCGGCCAUAGAUGCUACGACGAUCGAGAAGAACCCCACCCCUGGAGGGUAGAGGGGAGGGGGCGCUGCAGAACCCAGAAAUCUAGAGCUGCCGGAGGUCUGGUCCUCUUUGGCGGGAUGGUCAGAGAAAGUCAAAUAAAGAGGGAUUUUUUCCAGUA